CUAAGUUGAUACAAAGGGUCUCAUUAAAGAGUUAUUAGCCCACUUUUGCUGAACUUUUUAUUACAGCAACGUUUCUAGAGAACUUUUCCGGUGAUCAGAUGUAGUGCUGCAAUGGAUUUCAUCAACAGUAUCACUGUUCGACCCAACAUAAGAAUCUCGUCCUGUUGAUACCCAUUGGCCAUUUAUCUGGUAUAUAAUAACUUUGCUAUGACUAUUUCUGACCACACCAAAAUGCGCGGACGUAAAAAAGUCAAAGAGGUGGUAGCGUCUAUGAAUCAGCCAAAUUAUGACCAUUGAAUGGUGAACUUGUACAAAUUGUGGGAGAUGAUCUUUUCGUCACCAACCCCUCGACAAGAUUGUUUCAGCAUAUACUAACCUCAAGUGGUGAUUUACAAGGACGAUUUUAGUAUUUGUAGAAUUGUAGUUAAAAUAAGUUAUAUGUUACAUAAUCGUUUUCUUUGACG
Erigeron canadensis is the source of this 464-nucleotide long non-coding RNA. RefSeq lists it as uncharacterized. NCBI's taxonomy places the organism in Eukaryota, Viridiplantae, Streptophyta, Magnoliopsida, Asterales, Asteraceae. The transcript is spliced from 5 exons. The record is from RefSeq and is a predicted model, not a curated record.